AUACGAAGGUGGCGAGCGUUGUUCGGAUUUACUGGGCGUAAAGAGCACGUAGGCGGUUUGGUAAGCCCCUUGUGAAAGCUCCCGGCUUAACCGGGAAAGGUCGAGGGGAACUGCCAAGCUAGAGGGCGGGAGAGGAGCGCGGAAUUCCCGGUGUAGCGGUGAAAUGCAUAGAUAUCGGGAGGGAGGCCGGUGGCGAAGGCGGCGCUCUGGAACGCCCCUGACGCUGAGGUGCGAAAGCGUGGGGAGCAAACAGGAUUAGAAACCCCAGUAGUCC
Molecule: ribosomal RNA, 274 nt
Filed under: uncultured bacterium
Lineage: Bacteria
Description: partial 16S ribosomal RNA
Rfam family: Bacterial small subunit ribosomal RNA
Source: RNAcentral